Molecule: ribosomal RNA, 249 nt
Filed under: Faughnia serenei
Lineage: Eukaryota; Metazoa; Arthropoda; Malacostraca; Stomatopoda; Parasquillidae
Description: partial large subunit ribosomal RNA
Rfam family: Eukaryotic large subunit ribosomal RNA
Source: RNAcentral
CCAGUAAGGGCGACUGAACGGGGAGGAGCCCAGCGCGGAACCUCGCGCGCCUGACCGGCUGCGUCUGAGGGAUGUCGCGUUUCGGAGGGGCCUUCUCCGACCACACCGACCCCCCCCAAGUCCGCUUGAACGCGGCCACUACCCAUGGAGGGUGCGAGGCCCGUACGGGGAUUAGGAGUCGGGCGGUCGGACGGCCCCGUCCGUAGAGUCGGGUUGCCUACUAACGCAGCCCAAAGUAGGUGGUAAACU